UUUAUCGGAGAGUUUGAUCCUGGCUCAGGACGAACGCUGGCGGCGUGCCUAAUACAUGCAAGUCGAGCGGACAGAUGGGAGCUUGCUCCCUGAUGUUAGCGGCGGACGGGUGAGUAACACGUGGGUAACCUGCCUGUAAGACUGGGAUAACUCCGGGAAACCGGGGC
RNAcentral lists this ribosomal RNA (167 nucleotides) under Bacillus velezensis. RNAcentral describes it as "partial 16S ribosomal RNA". It matches the Rfam family "Bacterial small subunit ribosomal RNA", at positions 1 to 163 of the family's 1533-position model. The record is from RNAcentral. Lineage: Bacteria; Bacillati; Bacillota; Bacilli; Caryophanales; Bacillaceae.